CCUUACCUGGCCUUGACAUCCAGAGAACUUUCCAGAGAUGGAUUGGUGCCUUCGGGAACUCUGAGACAGGUGCUGCAUGGCCGUCGUCAGCUCGUGUCGUGAGAUGUUGGGUUAAGUCCCGUAACGAGCGCAACCCCUAUCCCUGGUUGCUAGCAGGUAAUGCUGAGAACUCCAGGGAGACUGCCGGUGACAAACCGGAGGAAGGUGGGGAUGACGUCAGGUCAUCAUGGCCCUUACGGCCAGGGCUACACACGUGCUACAAUGGUGCGUACAGAGGGCUGCAAACCCGCGAGGGGGAGCUAAUCUCACAAAACGCAUCGUAGUCCGGAUCGGAGUCUGCAACUCGACUCCGUGAAGUCGGAAUCGCUAGUAAUCGCGAAUCAGAAUGUCGCGGUGAAUACGUUCCC
This 407-nucleotide ribosomal RNA is filed under the name uncultured bacterium. RNAcentral describes it as "bacterial SSU rRNA". It matches the Rfam family "Bacterial small subunit ribosomal RNA", at positions 969 to 1375 of the family's 1533-position model. The record is from RNAcentral.